AAGCGGAGGAAAAGAAACCAACAGGGAUUGCCCUAGUAACGGCGAGUGAAGCGGCAACAGCUCAAAUUUGAAAUCUGGCGCAAGCCCGAGUUGUAAUUUGUAGAGGAUGCUUCUAGGUAGCGACCGGUCUAAGUUCCUUGGAACAGGACGUCAUAGAGGGUGAGAAUCCCGUAUGUGACCGGCCCGCACCUUCUACGUAGCUCCUUCGACGAGUCGAGUUGUUUGGGAAUGCAGCUCUAAAUGGGAGGUAAAUUUCUUCUAAAGCUAAAUACCGGCCAGAGACCGAUAGCGCACAAGUAGAGUGAUCGAAAGAUGAAAAGCACUUUGGAAAGAGAGUUAAAAAGCACGUGAAAUUGUUGAAAGGGAAGCGCUUACAACCAGACUUCUGGGCGGUGUUCCGCCGGUCUUUUGACCGGUCUACUCGCCGUCCCGAGGCCAACAUCAUCUGGGACCGCUGGAUAAGACCUCAGGAAUGUAGCUUCCCUCGGGAAGUGUUAUAGCCUGUGGUGAUGCAGCGCGUCUCGGGUGAGGUCCGCGCUUCGGCAAGGAUGUUGGCGUAAUGGUUGUCAGCGGCCCGUCUUGAAACACGGACCAAGGAGUCUAACAUCUAUGCGAGUGUUCGGGUGUCAAACCCCUACGCGUAAUGAAAGUGAACGGAGGUGGGAAGCGUAAGCUGCACCAUCGACCGAUCCUGAUGUCCUCGGAUGGAUUUGAGUAAGAGCAUAGCUGUUGGGACCCGAAAGAUGGUGAACUAUGCCUGAAUAGGGUGAAGCCAGAGGAAACUCUGGUGGAGGCUCGCAGCGGUUCUGACGUGCAAAUCGAUCGUCAAAUUUGGGUAUAGGGGCGAAAGACUAAUCGAACCAU
Molecule: ribosomal RNA, 864 nt
Filed under: Ramularia glechomatis
Lineage: Eukaryota; Fungi; Ascomycota; Dothideomycetes; Mycosphaerellales; Mycosphaerellaceae
Also listed under: 1 other name
Description: eukaryotic LSU rRNA
Rfam family: Eukaryotic large subunit ribosomal RNA
Source: RNAcentral